AGAAAAAAUAUUAUGUACCCAGCAAACACCAAAUAUAAAUGCAAUAUAACGUGAGAGUAACAUGUAAUAUAACAGACGUUACACUCUAUUUAUAUUAUAGUUACGAAACUUUACUACAUAUAUGUGAUGUAACAAAGUUAUGAAGCUAUAAUAUUACUUCGUUAUUUGUAUGUUACAAUAACCGGACAGUGAUGUAACCACAAUGUUGCGUGGUUACACAACAAUUGUUUUACUUAUGUUAUAUAAAUAUUAUAAAAUUUGAAUCUUGUGAGACUCUAACCUCAAUCGCACAACGUACAUCUCGUGCAUUAGGCGCGCUUUCCCCUAGUGGAUGCUAUAAUGACGAAAGAGAGACGUUGUUUUCUUGCAACUUGACUUUAAUCAGGAUUCUGCCAAUUAUUCUUACAUCAUUCGGACAACUGUUCUUCUUAAAAUUUAAAAGAACGUAAAGAAUAACUGAAGUUCAUAAAAGUUGAAGAAAUUUUCACAAGGAUUAGAACAGCCUGCGACCACAUCAUCGGCAGCCUGCCAUAAGAUAAUGACAUACUUGAAGAACUAGGAGAAAACUGAACUCAAAUGGAAGCGCUUGCACUCAUGUCACUAUCAUGUCCUGACAAUUUCAGAUUUUAUAAAACUAUAGGAGACGUGAUUGACGUUGAGAUUGUGAUUGACAGCUGGAGCAAAGCUAUAAUUUAGUUCAACAUUACGUGAAGUUUAUUUAAUGUUUUUCUCUUAUUUUCCCUCGUUUUUUAUAUUUUUAAAAAUUAUUUUUAAAAUAUAU
RNAcentral lists this long non-coding RNA (781 nucleotides) under Monomorium pharaonis (pharaoh ant). Its description in RNAcentral is "uncharacterized LOC118646152, transcript variant X3". Lineage: Eukaryota; Metazoa; Arthropoda; Insecta; Hymenoptera; Formicidae. The record is from RNAcentral.